UUUCCUUACCUGGUGUACAGACUGAAAUGGGCAUAUCUGUAGGGGAGGUCCAGGUGUCUAUUGGAAGUACUUACCUUACUGAGCCAGAGAUGUCCUUGCAUGCUUGAGGUGUGUGUACCUUCAGAGCCCAGUCAACAGUAUGUAGCAGCUCCUGAAUGAGUGAUUCAAGGAUUUUUCGUCAUGCUUUCACCCUGUUGAGUUAAAAGAGUUUCCCAGAGGAUCAGAAACAGAUUCUGACACCAGCUUCCAGCUUUCUCUUUAUGUCCUUGAGCAGAACUGUGUUCAAUAAAGUGAGCAAGAAUGGA
This is a long non-coding RNA of Ornithorhynchus anatinus (platypus), 305 nucleotides long. RefSeq lists it as uncharacterized. Lineage: Eukaryota; Metazoa; Chordata; Mammalia; Monotremata; Ornithorhynchidae. The record is from RefSeq and is a predicted model, not a curated record. The transcript has 2 exons.